GUGAGGAAUAUUGGUCAAUGGGCGCGAGCCUGAACCAGCCAAGUAGCGUGCAGGAAGACGGCCCUACGGGUUGUAAACUGCUUUUAUGCGGGGAUAAAGUGGGCUACGCGUAGCCCUUUGCAGGUACCGCAUGAAUAAGGACCGGCUAAUUCCGUGCCAGCAGCCGCGGUAAUACGGAAGGUCCGGGCGUUAUCCGGAUUUAUUGGGUUUAAAGGGAGCGCAGGCGGCCUUUUAAGCGUGACGUGAAAUGCCGGGGCUCAACCUUGGAAUUGCGUCGCGAACUGGCGGGCUUGAGUACGCUCGAGGCAGGCGGAAUUCGUGGUGUAGCGGUGAAAUGCUUAGAUAUCACGAGGAACCCCGAUUGCGAAGGCAGCCUGCCGGGGUGUUACUGACGCUCAUGCUCGAAGGUGCGGGUAUCGAACAGG
Molecule: ribosomal RNA, 425 nt
Filed under: uncultured rumen bacterium
Lineage: Bacteria
Description: bacterial SSU rRNA
Rfam family: Bacterial small subunit ribosomal RNA
Source: RNAcentral